CCACUGCUGAUGAGUCCCACAAUAGGACGAAACGGCCCGUCCCAGUGC
This 48-nucleotide non-coding RNA is filed under the name Schistosoma mansoni. Lineage: Eukaryota; Metazoa; Platyhelminthes; Trematoda; Strigeidida; Schistosomatidae. The record is from RNAcentral.